This 542-nucleotide ribosomal RNA is filed under the name uncultured bacterium. Its description in RNAcentral is "bacterial SSU rRNA". It matches the Rfam family "Bacterial small subunit ribosomal RNA", at positions 777 to 1320 of the family's 1533-position model. The record is from RNAcentral.
AAUAGAUACCCCGGUAGUCCACCCCGUAAACGUUGGGAACUAGUUGUGGGGUCCUUUCCACGGAUUCCGUGACGCAGCUAACGCAUUAAGUUCCCCGCCUGGGGAGUACGGCCGCAAGGCUAAAACUCAAAGGAAUUGACGGGGACCCGCACAAGCGGCGGAGCAUGCGGAUUAAUUCGAUGCAACGCGAAGAACCUUACCAAGGCUUGACAUACACCAGAACACCCUAGAAAUAGGGGACUCUUUGGACACUGGUGAACAGGUGGUGCAUGGUUGUCGUCAGCUCGUGUCGUGAGAUGUUGGGUUAAGUCCCGCAACGAGCGCAACCCUCGUUCUAUGUUGCCAGCACGUAAUGGUGGGAACUCAUGGGAUACUGCCGGGGUCAACUCGGAGGAAGGUGGGGAUGACGUCAAAUCAUCAUGCCCCUUAUGUCUUGGGCUUCACGCAUGCUACAAUGGCCGGUACAAAGGGCUGCAAUACCGUGAGGUGGAGCGAAUCCCAAAAGCCGGUCCAGUUCGGAUUGAGGUCUGCAACUCGACUCA